UUUGUUUCGACCGUCUAAAACAAUUCUCGUGGAACGGAUAGUUUUGUGAAAACGGUUUCUGCAGCGCGAUAAUGAUACCCGCCAAAGCCAAAAUAUAUUAAUUUUGAUCGUAAGAAUCGUCCCAUUAAAUUUAAAGGCACAGAUAUCGAGAUUCAGAAGGAUACUGGAAUCUUUUUAGCCUCAAGAUUCGUUCGACGUGUACAUUCUCACUCUUAC
Anopheles cruzii is the source of this 216-nucleotide long non-coding RNA. RefSeq lists it as uncharacterized. The transcript has 3 exons. The record is from RefSeq and is a predicted model, not a curated record. Lineage: Eukaryota; Metazoa; Arthropoda; Insecta; Diptera; Culicidae.